Molecule: unclassified non-coding RNA, 301 nt
Filed under: Hevea brasiliensis (rubber tree)
Lineage: Eukaryota; Viridiplantae; Streptophyta; Magnoliopsida; Malpighiales; Euphorbiaceae
Source: RNAcentral
GUUCAAUGUCGGCUUCUUUAGCUGCUUUCGAGCGGCCGAGAGCUGGAGCUUCCAAUAAGGUUUUCAAGAGUGGGCCGCUUUUCAUAUCUUCAAAAGGAUUAGGCUGGAAAUCAUGGAAGAAACGGUGGUUUAUCUUGACACGCACUUCCUUGGUGUUCUUUAAAAAUGAUCCUAGUGCUUUACCGCAAAGAGGUGGUGAAGUAAAUUUAACUUUGGGAGGAAUUGAUUUAAACAAUUCAGGAAGUGUCGUUGUUAGGGAGGAUAAAAAGUUGUUAACUGUCUUGUUUCCUGAUGGACGUGA